AACGAACGCUGGCGGCAUGCCUAACACAUGCAAGUCGAACGAGACCUUCGGGUCUAGUGGCGCACGGGUGCGUAACGCGUGGGAACCUGCCCUUAGGUUCGGAAUAACUCCCCGAAAGGGGUGCUAAUACCGGAUAAUGUCUUCGGACCAAAGAUUUAUCGCCUUUGGAUGGGCCCGCGUUGGAUUAGCUAGUUGGUAGGGUAAAAGCCUACCAAGGCGACGAUCCAUAGCUGGUCUGAGAGGAUGAUCAGCCACACUGGGACUGAGACACGGCCCAGACUCCUACGGGAGGCAGCAGUGGGGAAUAUUGGACAAUGGGCGAAAGCCUGAUCCAGCAAUGCCGCGUGAGUGAUGAAGGCCUUAGGGUUGUAAAGCUCCUUUACCCGGGAUGAUAAUGACAGUACCGGGAGAAUAAGCGCCGGCUAACUCCGUG
Molecule: ribosomal RNA, 433 nt
Filed under: uncultured bacterium
Lineage: Bacteria
Description: partial 16S ribosomal RNA
Rfam family: Bacterial small subunit ribosomal RNA
Source: RNAcentral